ACGGGUAGCCGGCCUGAGAGGGUGACCGGCCACACUGGGACUGAGACACGGCCCAGACUCCUACGGGAGGCAGCAGUGGGGAAUAUUGCACAAUGGGCGAAAGCCUGAUGCAGCGACGCCGCGUGAGGGAUGACGGCCUUCGGGUUGUAAACCUCUUUCAGUAGGGAAGAAGCGAGAGUGACGGUACCUGCAGAAGAAGCGCCGGCUAACUACGUGCCAGCAGCCGCGGUAAUACGUAGGGCGCGAGCGUUAUCCGGAAUUAUUGGGCGUAAAGAGCUCGUAGGCGGUUUGUCGCGUCUGCCGUGAAAGUCCGGGGCUUAACCCCGGAUCUGCGGUGGGUACGGGCAGACUGGAGUGCAGUAGGGGAGACUGGAAUUCCUGGUGUAGCGGUGAAAUGCGCAGAUAUCAGGAGGAACACCGAUGGCGAAGGCAGGUCUCUGGGCUGUUACUGACGCUGAGGAGCGAAAGCAUGGGGAGCAGA
Molecule: ribosomal RNA, 481 nt
Filed under: Micrococcaceae bacterium
Lineage: Bacteria; Bacillati; Actinomycetota; Actinomycetes; Micrococcales; Micrococcaceae
Description: bacterial SSU rRNA
Rfam family: Bacterial small subunit ribosomal RNA
Source: RNAcentral